CGAGUUGGCUGGGCGGCCGCGGCUCGGGCUCUUGCAGCGCCGAGUCGAGGAAAGUCCGGACUUCACAGAGCAGGGUGAUUGCUAACGGCAAUCCGAGGCGACUCGCGGGAAAGUGCCACAGAGAACAAACCGCCACCCUCGCGGUGGUAAGGGUGAAACGGUGCGGUAAGAGCGCACCAGCAUUCCGGGUGACCGGGGUGGCUAGGCAAACCCCACCCGAAGCAAGGUCAAGAAGACCGCAUUUCGGUGCGGUCGCGCAGGUGUCUGAGGGCGGCUCGCCCGAGCCUGCGGGUAGACCGCUCGAGGCACCCGGCAACGGUGUGUCCAGAUGGAUGGUCGCCGCCGCGUCCCCGACGCGGAACAGAAUCCGGCUUACAGGCCAACUCGCCCG
Molecule: RNase P RNA, 391 nt
Filed under: Candidatus Mycobacterium wuenschmannii
Lineage: Bacteria; Bacillati; Actinomycetota; Actinomycetes; Mycobacteriales; Mycobacteriaceae
Description: Mycobacterium sp. 'wuenschmanii' RNase P RNA component class A
Rfam family: Bacterial RNase P class A
About the family: Ribonuclease P (RNase P) is a ubiquitous endoribonuclease, found in archaea, bacteria and eukarya as well as chloroplasts and mitochondria. Its best characterised activity is the generation of mature 5'-ends of tRNAs by cleaving the 5'-leader elements of precursor-tRNAs.
Source: RNAcentral